RNAcentral lists this ribosomal RNA (369 nucleotides) under uncultured organism. Its description in RNAcentral is "bacterial SSU rRNA". It matches the Rfam family "Bacterial small subunit ribosomal RNA", at positions 526 to 896 of the family's 1533-position model. The record is from RNAcentral.
CGUAGGGUGCGAGCGUUAAUCGGAAUUACUGGGCGUAAAGCGUGCGCAGGCGGUUCGUUGUGUCUGUGGUGAAAGCCCCGGGCUUAACCUGGGAAUGGCCAUGGAAACUGGCGAGCUGGAGUGUGGCAGAGGGGGUGGAAUUCCGCGUGUAGCAGUGAAAUGCGUAGAGAUGCGGAGGAACACCGAUGGCGAAGGCAGCCCCCUGGGUCAACACUGACGCUCAGGCACGAAAGCGUGGGGAGCAAACAGGAUUAGAUACCCUGGUAGUCCACGCCCUAAACGAUGGCAACUGGGUGUUGGGGGAGCGAUCUCCUGGUACCGUAGCUAACGCGUGAAGUUGCCCGCCUGGGGAGUACGGCCGCAAGGUUA